This 468-nucleotide ribosomal RNA is filed under the name uncultured bacterium. RNAcentral describes it as "partial 16S ribosomal RNA". It matches the Rfam family "Bacterial small subunit ribosomal RNA", at positions 28 to 507 of the family's 1533-position model. The record is from RNAcentral.
GACGAACGCUGGCGGCGUGCCUAACACAUGCAAGUCGAACGGAAAGGCCCUGCUUUUGUGGGGUGCCCGAGUGGCGAACGGGUGAGAAACACGUGAGUAACCUGCCCUUGACUUUGGGACAACUUCAGGAAACUGGGGAUAAUACCUGAUAGGAGCUGCUGCUGCAUGGUGGGGGUUGGAACGUUUCGGCGGUUGGGGAUGUACUCGCGGUUUACCAGCUUGUUGGUGGGGUAGUGGCUUACCAAGGCUUUGACGGGUAGACGGCCUGUGUGACUGAGCCGCCGCAUUGGGACCGAGGUGCGGCCGCGACUCCGACGGGAGGAAGCAGUGCGGAAUACUGCACCAUGGACGGCAGCCGGAUGCAGAAACGCCGCGUACGGGAUGACGGCCUUAGUGUGGUAAACCGCUUUCGCCUGUGACGAAGCGUGAGUGACGGUAAUAGGUGAAGAAGCACCGGCUAACUACGUG